Molecule: ribosomal RNA, 373 nt
Filed under: Streptococcus equinus
Lineage: Bacteria; Bacillati; Bacillota; Bacilli; Lactobacillales; Streptococcaceae
Description: bacterial SSU rRNA
Rfam family: Bacterial small subunit ribosomal RNA
Source: RNAcentral
GGAACAUCGGUGACAGGUGGUGCAUGGUUGUCGUCAGCUCGUGUCGUGAGAUGUUGGGUUAAGUCCCGCAACGAGCGCAACCCCUAUUGUUAGUUGCCAUCAUUAAGUUGGGCACUCUAGCGAGACUGCCGGUAAUAAACCGGAGGAAGGUGGGGAUGACGUCAAAUCAUCAUGCCCCUUAUGACCUGGGCUACACACGUGCUACAAUGGUUGGUACAACGAGUCGCGAGUCGGUGACGGCAAGCAAAUCUCUUAAAGCCAAUCUCAGUUCGGAUUGUAGGCUGCAACUCGCCUACAUGAAGUCGGAAUCGCUAGUAAUCGCGGAUCAGCACGCCGCGGUGAAUACGUUCCCGGGCCUUGUACACACCGCCCG